Molecule: ribosomal RNA, 396 nt
Filed under: uncultured bacterium
Lineage: Bacteria
Description: partial 16S ribosomal RNA
Rfam family: Bacterial small subunit ribosomal RNA
Source: RNAcentral
AUACGUAGGGGACAAGCGUUAUCCGGAUUUACUGGGUUUAAAGGGAGCGCAGACGGCAGUGCAAGUCUGAAGUGGAAGCCCGGGGCUCAACCCCGGGACUGCUUUGGAAACUGUUCUGCUAGAGUACUGGAAGGGCAAGCGGAAUUCCUGGUGUAGCGGUGAAAUGCGUAGAUAUCAGGAGGAAAACCGGUGGCGAAGGCGGAUUGCUGGACAGCAACUGACGUUGAGGCUCGAGAGCGUGGGGAGCAAACAGGAUUAGAUACCCUGGUAGUCCACGCUGUAAACGAUGAAUACUAGGUGUUGGAAGACUAAGUCUUUCAGUGCCGUCGCAAACGCAGUAAGUAUUCCACCUGGGGAGUACGUUCGCAAGAAUGAAACUCAAAUGAAUUGACGGGG